CAUGCAAGUCGAACGGUAACAGGAAGAAGCUUGCUUCUUUGCUGACGAGUGGCGGACGGGUGAGUAAUGUCUGGGAAACUGCCUGAUGGAGGGGGAUAACUACUGGAAACGGUAGCUAAUACCGCAUAACGUCGCAAGACCAAAGAGGGGGACCUUCGGGCCUCUUGCCAUCGGAUGUGCCCAGAUGGGAUUAGCUUGUUGGUGGGGUAACGGCUCACCAAGGCGACGAUCCCUAGCUGGUCUGAGAGGAUGACCAGCCACACUGGAACUGAGACACGGUCCAGACUCCUACGGGAGGCAGCAGUGGGGAAUAUUGCACAAUGGGCGCAAGCCUGAUGCAGCCAUGCCGCGUGUAUGAAGAAGGCCUUCGGGUUGUAAAGUACUUUCAGCGGGGAGGAAGGGAGUAAAGUUAAUACCUUUGCUCAUUGACGUUACCCGCAGAAGAAGCACCGGCUAACUCCGUGCCAGCAGCCGCGGUAAUACGGAGGGUGCAAGCGUUAAUCGGAAUUACUGGGCGUAAAGCGCACGCAGGCGGUUUGUUAAGUCAGAUGUGAAAUCCCCGGGCUCAACCUGGGAACUGCAUCUGAUACUGGCAAGCUUGAGUCUCGUAGAGGGGGGUAGAAUUCCAGGUGUAGCGGUGAAAUGCGUAGAGAUCUGGAGGAAUACCGGUGGCGAAGGCGGCCCCCUGGACGAAGACUGACGCUCAGGUGCGAAAGCGUGGGGAGCAAACAGGAUUAGAUACCCUGGUAGUCCACGCCGUAAACGAUGUCGACUUGGAGGUUGUGCCCUUGAGGCGUGGCUUCCGGAGCUAACGCGUUAAGUCGACCGCCUGGGGAGUACGGCCGCAAGGUUAAAACUCAAAUGAAUUGACGGGGGCCCGCACAAGCGGUGGAGCAUGUGGUUUAAUUCGAUGCAACGCGAAGAACCUUACCUGGUCUUGACAUCCACAGAACUUUCCAGAGAUGGAUUGGUGCCUUCGGGAACUGUGAGACAGGUGCUGCAUGGCUGUCGUCAGCUCGUGUUGUGAAAUGUUGGGUUAAGUCCCGCAACGAGCGCAACCCUUAUCCUUUGUUGCCAGCGGUC
This 1083-nucleotide ribosomal RNA is filed under the name Escherichia sp. ESBL314aB15_13_3E. RNAcentral's name for it is "bacterial SSU rRNA". It matches the Rfam family "Bacterial small subunit ribosomal RNA", at positions 54 to 1126 of the family's 1533-position model. Lineage: Bacteria; Pseudomonadati; Pseudomonadota; Gammaproteobacteria; Enterobacterales; Enterobacteriaceae. The record is from RNAcentral.